AGAGUUUGAUCAUGGCUCAGAACGAACGCUGGCGGCAUGCCUAACACAUGCAAGUCGAACGAGGGCUUCGGCCCUAGUGGCGCACGGGUGAGUAACGCGUGGGAACCUGCCCUGUGGUACGGAAUAACUCCGGGAAACUGGAGCUAAUACCGUAUGUGUCUUGAGGGACAAAGAUUUAUCGCCAUGGGAUGGGCCCGCGUAGGAUUAGCUUGUUGGUGGGGUAACGGCCUACCAAGGCUUCGAUCCUUAGCUGGUCUGAGAGGAUGAUCAGCCACACUGGGACUGAGACACGGCCCAGACUCCUACGGGAGGCAGCAGUGGGGAAUAUUGGACAAUGGGCGCAAGCCUGAUCCAGCAAUGCCGCGUGAGUGAUGAAGGCCUUCGGGUUGUAAAGCUCUUUCGCACGCGACGAUGAUGACGGUAGCGUGAGAAGAAGCCCCGGCUAACUUCGUGCCAGCAGCCGCGGUAAUACGAAGGGGGCUAGCGUUGUUCGGAAUUACUGGGCGUAAAGGGCGCGUAGGCGGUACUUCAAGUCAGGCGUGAAAGCCCCGGGCUCAACCUGGGAACCGCGCUUGAGACUGGAGAACUAGAGUUCGGGAGAGGAUGGUGGAAUUCCCAGUGUAGAGGUGAAAUUCGUAGAUAUUGAGAAGAACACCGAUGGCGAAGGCAGCCAUCUGGACCGACACUGACGCUGAGGCGCGAAAGCGUGGGGAGCAAACAGGAUUAGAUACCCUAGUAGUCC
Molecule: ribosomal RNA, 742 nt
Filed under: uncultured bacterium
Lineage: Bacteria
Description: bacterial SSU rRNA
Rfam family: Bacterial small subunit ribosomal RNA
Source: RNAcentral